This 801-nucleotide ribosomal RNA is filed under the name uncultured bacterium. RNAcentral's name for it is "bacterial SSU rRNA". It matches the Rfam family "Bacterial small subunit ribosomal RNA", at positions 8 to 806 of the family's 1533-position model. The record is from RNAcentral.
AGAGUUUGAUCCUGGCUCAGGACGAACGCUGGCGGCGUGCUUAACACAUGCAAGUCGAACGCUGAAGCCUGGCUUUUGUUGGGUGGAUGAGUGGCGAACGGGUGAGUAACACGUGAGUAACCUGCCCCCUUCUUUGGGAUAACGCCCGGAAACGGGUGCUAAUACUGGAUAUUCACUGGCCUUCGCAUGGGGGUUGGUGGAAAGGGUUUUCUGGUGGGGGAUGGGCUCGCGGCCUAUCAGCUUGUUGGUGGGGUGAUGGCCUACCAAGGCUUUGACGGGUAGCCGGCCUGAGAGGGUGACCGGUCACAUUGGGACUGAGAUACGGCCCAGACUCCUACGGGAGGCAGCAGUGGGGAAUAUUGCACAAUGGGCGCAAGCCUGAUGCAGCGACGCCGCGUGAGGGAUGGAGGCCUUCGGGUUGUGAACCUCUUUCGCUCAUGGUCAAGCCGCAACAAUGGUUGUGGUGAGGGUAGUGGGUAAAGAAGCGCCGGCUAACUACGUGCCAGCAGCCGCGGUAAUACGUAGGGCGCGAGCGUUGUCCGGAAUUAUUGGGCGUAAAGGGCUUGUAGGCGGUUGGUCGCGUCUGCCGUGAAAUCCUCUGGCUUAACUGGGGGCGUGCGGUGGGUACGGGCUGACUUGAGUGCGGUAGGGGAGACUGGAACUCCUGGUGUAGCGGUGGAAUGCGCAGAUAUCAGGAAGAACACCGGUGGCGAAGGCGGGUCUCUGGGCCGUUACUGACGCUGAGGAGCGAAAGCGUGGGGAGCGAACAGGAUUAGAUACCCUGGUAGUCCACGCUGUAAA